Molecule: non-coding RNA, 30 nt
Filed under: Homo sapiens (human)
Lineage: Eukaryota; Metazoa; Chordata; Mammalia; Primates; Hominidae
Source: RNAcentral
UGCUGAACACCAACCGGAUUGGUCAUUAGA